UAGGGAAUCUUCGGCAAUGGGGGCAACCCUGACCGAGCAACGCCGCGUGAGUGAAGAAGGUUUUCGGAUCGUAAAGCUCUGUUGUAAGAGAAGAACGUGUGUGAGAGUGGAAAGUUCACACAGUGACGGUAACUUACCAGAAAGGGACGGCUAACUACGUGCCAGCAGCCGCGGUAAUACGUAGGUCCCGAGCGUUGUCCGGAUUUAUUGGGCGUAAAGCGAGCGCAGGCGGUUUAAUAAGUCUGAAGUUAAAGGCAGUGGCUUAACCAUUGUUCGCUUUGGAAACUGUUAAACUUGAGUGCAGAAGGGGAGAGUGGAAUUCCAUGUGUAGCGGUGAAAUGCGUAGAUAUAUGGAGGAACACCGGUGGCGAAAGCGGCUCUCUGGUCUGUAACUGACGCUGAGGCGCGAAAGCGUGGGGAGCAAACAGG
RNAcentral lists this ribosomal RNA (429 nucleotides) under bacterium. Its description in RNAcentral is "partial 16S ribosomal RNA". It matches the Rfam family "Bacterial small subunit ribosomal RNA", at positions 355 to 776 of the family's 1533-position model. The record is from RNAcentral.